This 482-nucleotide ribosomal RNA is filed under the name uncultured bacterium. RNAcentral describes it as "partial 16S ribosomal RNA". It matches the Rfam family "Bacterial small subunit ribosomal RNA", at positions 28 to 507 of the family's 1533-position model. The record is from RNAcentral.
GACGAACGCUGGCGGCGUGCCUAACACAUGCAAGUCGAACGGAACUGUUUUGAAAGUUUUCUUCGGACUGAAUUUGCUUUCGUUUAGUGGCGGACGGGUGAGUAACGCGUGAGUAACCUGCCUUCAAGAGGGGAAUAACAUUCUGAAAAGAAUGCUAAUACCGCAUGACAUAUCGGAACCACAUGGUUUUGUUAUCAAAGAUUUUAUCGCUUGAAGAUGGACUUGCGUCCGAUUAGUUAGUUGGUGAGGUAACGGCUCACCAAGACCGCGAUCGGUAGCCGGACUGAGAGGUUGAACGGCCACAUUGGGACUGAGACACGGCCCAGACUCCUACGGGAGGCAGCAGUGGGGGAUAUUGCGCAAUGGGGGCAACCCUGACGCAGCAACGCCGCGUGAAGGAUGAAGGUUUUCGGAGUGUAAACUUCUUUUAUUAAGGACGAAAAAUGACGGUACUUAAUGAAUAAGCUCCGGCUAACUACGUG